Sitodiplosis mosellana (orange wheat blossom midge) is the source of this 600-nucleotide long non-coding RNA. RefSeq lists it as uncharacterized. Lineage: Eukaryota; Metazoa; Arthropoda; Insecta; Diptera; Cecidomyiidae. The record is from RefSeq and is a predicted model, not a curated record. The transcript has 3 exons.
CAAAACAGAAAAUCAGAAUCAAAGUCGAAAAAGAGAAAAUUGCUUAUCACUCUUAUUUUAGUCGUUUGAUUGUUGGUGCAUUUGAUAUUGCCAAAAUUAUUGAACAAAUUGAAUGACCCAUCAGAAGUGUUAAAAAACACCGGACCAUCGAUAUUGAGGCGUUGCGAUGCGAAAUAUAUAUCUGAUGUCGAACGAGCCAACACAUUUAAGCUAAGUCAGGCUUUGUGCUUUACAACUGGUGAAGCUACGAAUGAUAGCAAAAUUGUUACACACGGCGAUUCGGGUGGACCAGUCGUUUCAAAAACAAAUGGCAAAAUAGUGGGGAUAACAACGGCUGAGACGGCAGAUGGUCGCGGAGCGUUCCUUCCAAUUACUCUAUUUCUUGAUUUUAUUCGUCACCCAAAGAGCGUGAAACCAAUUCCACCCCCGCUUACACCGAACGAAGCUAAAUUUAUAGCCGAUAUAACGGUACCGGGAAAGGAGAUGCAAAAUUGGAGAUUUUUCAUGAUUCAUAAACAUAAAUAUUCAUUCUGAGUUGUUUUUCUAUUACGGAAUUUCUUACUGCUUACAAAAAAGAUUUUGCCAAUGCUGACGAAGAUG